UUCAUCUUGUUGUUUGUCCCAACCUGGCUGGCUGGGCCCACGGCCGGCCGGUAACCACGGCCUCCGGCUCCAACAAUGCCGGCAUUUCCAUCGCUCUGGGAAGCCACCAGACAGUUCUGGGUCGAGUGUGGGACAGAAACUUAGGAAAGCAGCACUGACCUGAUUUUCUUGGAUGAGACUGUCCUCCCUGACAACGAGGCGGCCCUCAAACUCUCCCUCUCUGGGGUUUGCUGAGGAUGUGUGAAAUCCGUCUCUGCUCGAUGUCGCGGCGGAGGAAGGAAGAGGGCGUUGCGGACUCGUCCGCGCUCUCUGGACUGUGGCCGUCUUCCGGUUCGGAGUGGAUGAGUGACAGACUCGUUCCCGUUUCUCACAGCGUCACCGCUUCGCAAUGCGUCCAGUGUGUCAGGCUGCGGCUCAAACCUCCCACUCCAAAAGCCUGGCACUGUAACAUCUUACUGUUGCCGAGUUUGAUACAGGGCUUUUCCCACAACUGUCUACGUGGAAAGUGAGCUAGUGAUCGAUACUGAAAUAUCGAUACCUCCGAUUCUAGAUCUUUAUUCUCUAAAAUCCAUUCUCAGAUCAAAAAUAUUAACACUUUCGAUGCUUCAGUUAUUUGAGGAAAUGCAUACCAUUAAAGAAAAUAAACCAAA
Molecule: non-coding RNA, 650 nt
Organism: Poecilia reticulata (guppy)
Lineage: Eukaryota; Metazoa; Chordata; Actinopteri; Cyprinodontiformes; Poeciliidae
Source: RefSeq, a predicted model, not a curated record